This is a non-coding RNA of Peromyscus maniculatus bairdii (prairie deer mouse), 350 nucleotides long. Lineage: Eukaryota; Metazoa; Chordata; Mammalia; Rodentia; Cricetidae. The record is from RefSeq and is a predicted model, not a curated record.
ACAUUUAGGUACCUAGCCAAGUUCAUAGGUCAGAAAUUCAAGCUCCUAAAAGGCACAGGCCUGUGGUUCUAGCACUAGGGAGGCUGAGGCAGGAAGUUACAAGUUCUAGGUCUUCCUGGGCUUACAGAGUGAGAUCCUGUUCCUGAAAACAAUGAAAAGACAUUUACCACCCAGAGGCUGUGACAGUCCCUUAUCUACCCCCAGCCUGGCCCCUGACAUCCCAAGGCUCUGGAAGGCAGCUCUGUCUCAGCCAGUUAUGAGUCUGCAGUCACUGAGAUCACUGCACAAGAUGCCUCCCUGCUCAUAGCAGCUGGUGGCAGCAUGGAUCAUGGACAUCAACGCGGUUUCUG